RNAcentral lists this ribosomal RNA (498 nucleotides) under uncultured bacterium. RNAcentral's name for it is "partial 16S ribosomal RNA". It matches the Rfam family "Bacterial small subunit ribosomal RNA", at positions 27 to 507 of the family's 1533-position model. The record is from RNAcentral.
GGAUGAACGCUGGCGGCGUGCCUAAUACAUGCAAGUCGAGCGAACGGACGAGAAGCUUGCUUUUCUGAUGUUCGCGGCGGACGGGUGAGUAACACGUGGAUAACCUACCUAUAAGACUGGGAUAACUUCGGGAAACCGGAGCUAAUACCGGAUAAUAUUUUGAACCGCAUGGUUCAAAAGUGAAAGACGGUCUUGCUGUCACUUAUAGAUGGAUCCGCGCUGCAUUAGCUAGUUGGUAAGGUAACGGCUUACCAAGGCAACGAUGCAUAGCCGACCUGAGAGGGCGGUCGGCCGCACUGGGACGGAGAGAGGCACGAUCCGGCCUCCGGCGGGAGGAGUAGGGAGGGUUUCGCCAUGAGCGAGAGACAGCCGGAGGAACCAACGGCGGGUGAAGAAGGAAUGCGGACGGUACAAAAACCUUUUUAAAGAAGAAAGAACAUAUGCGUAAGUAUCUGUGCAUAUACGGUCGCUACCAAAACAGAAACCCCCAACUACGUA